UCAAAUACGGAUAAAGUACUUUGCCAAGUAGCAAAUAUCUGUUUAGAGGCUAAAUUCUGAACAUCCUUCUUAAAUAUCUGUUUUGCAGCUGAGCAAUCAACUCAGAUUAAAAAGUGCUGAUUUAAAAGAUCAUCCUGAAAUUUUAAAACACAUUUAACAAUUGAAAGACAUUCUUUUUUAAUUGUGGUGGUAAUUUAAAGAAG
Molecule: long non-coding RNA, 203 nt
Filed under: Panax ginseng (ginseng)
Lineage: Eukaryota; Viridiplantae; Streptophyta; Magnoliopsida; Apiales; Araliaceae
Description: long non-coding RNA (PGIN_LNC012180)
Source: RNAcentral